This 248-nucleotide ribosomal RNA is filed under the name uncultured bacterium. RNAcentral's name for it is "partial 16S ribosomal RNA". It matches the Rfam family "Bacterial small subunit ribosomal RNA", at positions 523 to 769 of the family's 1533-position model. The record is from RNAcentral.
AUACGUAGGUGGCAAGCGUUGUCCGGGAUUUACUGGGCGUAAAGGGAGCGUAGGCGGACUUUUAAGUGAGAUGUGAAAUACCCGGGCUCAACCUGGGUGCUGCAUUUCAAACUGGAAGUCUAGAGUGCAGGAGAGGAGAGUGGAAUUCCUAGUGUAGCGGUGAAAUGCGUAGAGAUUAGGAAGAACACCAGUGGCGAAGGCGACUCUCUGGACUGUAACUGACGCUGAGGCUCGAAAGCGUGGGGAGC